CAGUCGCCGCGGUAAUACGAAGGGUGCAAGCGUUAAUCGGAAUUACUGGGCGUAAAGCGUGCGUAGGCGGUGAGUUAAGUCUGCUGUGAAAUCCCCGGGCUCAACCUGGGAAUGGCAGUGGAUACUGGCUCGCUAGAGUGUGUCAGAGGAUGGUGGAAUUCCCGGUGUAGCGGUGAAAUGCGUAGAGAUCGGGAGGAACAUCAGUGGCGAAGGCGGCCAUCUGGGACAACACUGACGCUGAGGUACGAAAGCGUGGGGAGCAAACAGGAUUAGAUACCCCGGUAGUCCCUGUCUCUUAUAC
RNAcentral lists this ribosomal RNA (301 nucleotides) under uncultured bacterium. RNAcentral's name for it is "partial 16S ribosomal RNA". It matches the Rfam family "Bacterial small subunit ribosomal RNA", at positions 509 to 807 of the family's 1533-position model. The record is from RNAcentral.